AACCGACGCUGAACACGAUUUUCGCUUUUCGUCUUUUGUCGUAAAAAUGAAACUCUCCUUCGGGUUUCUUUCCAUUACGGAAAACGGGUACUAACACAGGUCCUUCCUAAAAGUGAAGUGGCAUAGCGGGAACCUUCGAAAACCGGAGGAUACCUGUAAUUGCUCUCCUUUUUGGCUGCCUAAUAUUCACCACCCCCCAGCACGCACACACACACACAUUUUGUGUGUGUGUGUGACAACAUUUCCUAAUGUCCUUAUGAGGAAUUACCUAUCUCCAAUAGCUAGUGGUUUUAUUGGAACUGUCAAUGCAGUUGCCAGGGAGUGAGCCCAUAACGCCAAGGUAGGUCAGCUGAACUCAGGACUUUGAACUUGAUCAGAAAUGGAACAAAAUAUAAAACACCAGAAAAAGCAUACCUGCAUUCCUUCCAUCAUCAUCUCCUAGUGAGGUCGUUGAAACAUUCCUGCUUCCAGACCCCUGGUGCCCUGAAUACCUGUCCUUUGAUGAGCCUGUUCUCCAGUCCUUCCCAUCGAUUCUGUCCCCAGAGUUGUAGCCGUGAACAAAUAACACAGUUCAGGGGCGGGGCACGCAGCCCACUUUACAGCAGGAGAAACAGAUUCCCAGCCAAGAGUCGAGAGGUUCACUUCUUCCUGCGCCUCGGUGACAAGCAAAUGCAGGCCACCCCUUGGGAAGGAACCUGGGCAUGAUAUCAAGGUGGAGAAGUGUUGUUAUCCUAAUGAUGUUGAGCAACUGCAAAAGCAAUAUAGAUAUAUUUUAUAAAGGCUGAAAUUCCGAGCCAUCACAUGGAGAAGAGCUUCUCCAGCAGGUUUCCCAGAACUACAGUGGAUUUUACAGAACACUGUACCGGCAACCAAAGGAGCGUCACUCGGUCCCAGAAGAAUGAGAAAAUGAAGUUUGUACAAGGCCUGGGGCAGAGCAGGAAAGCAACAUGGUUUCUAAGCACAGUUCCAAGCCUGAGGAGAAUCUCAAUUUAUGGACUCAUGACAAUGGCUUCUCUGCUUACAAUUAAGAUUCUGAUCAUAAAACAUCGUCUCAGCGUCUCGAAGGCAGAGGUGCCGCUGCUGGCUUGACAAAGGGAGCUGCCCAGGCAGCAAGGACGUGCAGACCUCCAGGAAUUGGAAGCAGGCCCAGAUGACCGCCAGCGAGAAAAUAGGGACCUCGGUCCCACAGCUGCCAAGACUUGAAUUCUGCCCACUACCAAAUGUCCUAGAAGAGGCCGACAGCUUGCCUGCAGCCUUGUGGAACCUGGAACCAAGGACCCAGUGAAGCCAUAUUCGGACUCCUGCCCCUCAGACACUCUGAGAUAAUAAAUGUAGGUUGUCCUAAGCUAUUCAGUUUGUGGUGUUGUUAUGCAGCAAUAGAUUACUAAUACACUCAAGGCUAGGAAACUCACAGCCAGUGAUGUCCCAUAGGAGGACCCAGAAGACACCUCAUUUACCAAAGCAAUAAGAAGUAUGUGGGGCAGGGCACCAGCA
This is a long non-coding RNA of Acinonyx jubatus (cheetah), 1494 nucleotides long. RefSeq lists it as uncharacterized. The transcript is spliced from 6 exons. Lineage: Eukaryota; Metazoa; Chordata; Mammalia; Carnivora; Felidae. The record is from RefSeq and is a predicted model, not a curated record.